ACUCCAGGGCUGCAUCCGAGGACUGUUCAUGGAAUACUGCUUCAGCUAUCAAAAUUUUUAUAACGGUAUUUAUUGCCGCUAAAUUCUGAUAGGAUCCUCGGUUCGAGGUCACGUGAAUUAUUUAAAAAUUUAAAUUUUUUUAUUAAAAAUUAUUUAAAAAAAAUAUAAAAAUGAGAACUUUAUAUAUCUCCCUUAAAAAAAAUUUCUUUAUCCCUCCUCUUUUGUUUUCUUAUAUAACGCCGGCGUCUGUUGUUGUCCUCUAAUCUCUGUCUUUAAACUUAUAGAAAUAUGAAAGUUACCAUAUUUAGAUAAAUUUAAUCGACAGUUAUUAUGACUCACGAUAUCUCAGUUAUGAGCAGUUGACAUCCGUAUCAUAUAUCGUAACCAUUCGUUGACCAUCGAUCUUUCAGAUCGUGCGUUACGAUUUUUUCUCAAAUUCUCGACCAUUAAUCAAAUAGGACAAUCAGUUGAAUAUUGAUAUAAUCAUCGAUUUAUAAAUGACCAUAUUGCCAAAUAAGUCAUUUGAUCAGCAUCGGGUUGAAAUCAUUGAUCGUCAUCUGAAUAGAAUUGGCAAUGCAGCUGAUAUUCGGCCAU
This 594-nucleotide long non-coding RNA is filed under the name Elaeis guineensis (African oil palm). RNAcentral's name for it is "long non-coding RNA (EGUI_LNC001239)". Lineage: Eukaryota; Viridiplantae; Streptophyta; Magnoliopsida; Arecales; Arecaceae. The record is from RNAcentral.